Pelobates cultripes (western spadefoot toad) is the source of this 294-nucleotide non-coding RNA. The record is from the annotation of a GenBank genome assembly. NCBI's taxonomy places the organism in Eukaryota, Metazoa, Chordata, Amphibia, Anura, Pelobatidae.
CACCCACACACAUUCAGCACCCACAGACAUACAGCACCCACAGACAUACAGCACCCACACACAUUCAGCACCCACAGACAUACACAGCACCCACACACAUUCAGCACCACACACAUUCAGCACCACAGACAUACAGCACCCACAGACAUACACAGCACCCACAGACAUACACAGCACCCACACACAUUCAGCACCCACACACAUUCAGCACCCACACACAUUCAGCACCCACAGACAUACAGCACCCACAGACAUACACAGCACCCACACACAUACAGCACCCAUACACAGCAC